AUUGAACGCUGGCGGCAGGCUUAACACAUGCAAGUCGAGCGGAGAGAGGUAGCUUGCUACUGAUCUUAGCGGCGGACGGGCGAGUAAUGCUUAGGAAUCUGCCUAUUAGUGGGGGACAACAUUUCGAAAGGAAUGCUAAUACCGCAUACGUCCUACGGGAGAAAGCAGGGGAUCUUCGGACCUUGCGCUAAUAGAUGAGCCUAGGUCGGAUUAGCUAGUUGGUGGGGUAAAGGCCUACCAAGGCGACGAUCUGUAGCGGGUCUGAGGGGAUGAUCCGCCGCACGGGGACUGAGACACGGCCCAGACUCCUACGGGAGGCAGCAGUGGGGAAUAUUGGACAAUGGGCGGAAGCCUGAUCCAGCCAUGCCGCGUGUGUGAAGAAGGCCUUAUGGUUGUAAAGCACUUUAAGCGAGGAGGAGGCUACUUUAGUUAACACCUAGAGAUAGUGGACGUUACUCGCAGAAUAAGCACCGGCUAACUCUGUGCCAGCCGCCGCCGUAA
RNAcentral lists this ribosomal RNA (501 nucleotides) under uncultured bacterium. RNAcentral's name for it is "partial 16S ribosomal RNA". It matches the Rfam family "Bacterial small subunit ribosomal RNA", at positions 30 to 523 of the family's 1533-position model. The record is from RNAcentral.